AUGUGGUUUAAUUCGAAGCAACGCGAAGAACCUUACCAGGGCUUGACAUCCUGCUAACGAACCAGAGAUGGAUCAGGUGCCCUUCGGGGAAAGCAGAGACAGGUGGUGCAUGGUUGUCGUCAGCUCGUGUCGUGAGAUGUUGGGUUAAGUCCCGCAACGAGCGCAACCCCUAUUGUUAGUUGCUACGCAAGAGCACUCUAGCGAGACUGCCG
RNAcentral lists this ribosomal RNA (212 nucleotides) under uncultured Eubacteriales bacterium. RNAcentral's name for it is "uncultured Clostridiales bacterium partial 16S ribosomal RNA". It matches the Rfam family "Bacterial small subunit ribosomal RNA", at positions 939 to 1154 of the family's 1533-position model. Lineage: Bacteria; Bacillati; Bacillota; Clostridia; Eubacteriales. The record is from RNAcentral.